GUCAGGGCUUAGAGGAGCUGCCUGCAAGAAACAUCAAGGAGCCAAACCAUCCAUGUUGUCCCAUCUGCAUGCACCUAUUUAAGCCUUUGCACCACUGGCACCAGAAAACUGGCUUAGGCUCCCAACAAUCUACUUCCUCCUCCACACUGCAGAUUUUAACAAAAUUGUUUUGCACAGCACUAUCCCAGCUCUGAAAUUCACUGCAGCUUAUAUGCAACUGUCGAAACUUGCCAGAUGCUAGGAUAUUCCCUGAUUAAAUUAUACAUGUGCCUUACUUCCAAACAGAGUUUUUUAAACCUGGAAAAAAGGAAUCUUGUAUGCUGUCCACAGUUUCUCUUGGCAAUGCUUUGUGAGAAAUACAAGGGGUCCCGUGUUACCAUACCCUUGUAUAGUCAGCAGGAAAUGUUCUCUCCAUAGUGUCCCCACAAGGCUGUGCCAGGGGUGACAUGAGAGUGACAUGAGCCUGGGAACUCUGCUGACUCCUGCACAGACCUGCAGCUUUCAGUCAUGGACAGCACAUCCAGGCCUGGGGGCUGCAGUGGGUGUGAUUUUGGAGCUUUCUGGAGCAUUUUAUCUUCAAUUUCUAAUAAGGGUCCUGAUGGAUGACAAGAAUUCUCUGGAUGCAUACAGCAGUUCUGUAACUGCCCUUAGCGUGUCACUUGGUGUGGAUUGGUCAGAACAGGAGAACAAAAAGCUUGACAUCAAGUUCAUGAUGCACUCCCACUAGUUUCUCAGUACAUUUAUCUACAUUUCUAUGGGAAGAUACAGAAGGGAACCAAAAAGAUGUAUGGAAAACAAGCACAAUGAAAUAAGCUCAAGAAAGAGACUGAAUCACUCCACAAUUAUGGAGAAAGGAAAUGAAAAAAGGAAUAUUUAGCUACAUAGGAGACAGGAAUGAUGAACAUCAUCACGUAUAUUAUUUCUACAUAUUCCAAAUUUAUCUCAUGACUGUAUUCAUUCAUUUAAUUACAGUACUUACAUGUGAGUGACUUUGCUUAAACUGUUGAAGGAAUGGGCCUCCAGACUCUGAAGUGUUUCAUCUAUGGAGAUGUAACUAAACACCAGCAAACAGAAAAAUAAACAGGCCUCAGACACUGGGAAGCCACAGCUAGUGCCCAUCAUGCCGCUUCAUUUGUCAUCUCAUUAUUUUUCUCAUCCAGCUAUGAUGGCACUCAGAAAGAGAGCAGGAUUUAAAUCAGAUCAACACUUGUCAGCAGCCACAAGGCUGCUUAUUUUCCCAGCCCUUAUUUUCUUCCUUCUCCCUCUCUCCACCUUUCUUUGCUUUUUUCCAACCUCAGCAUCCCCCGUAUUGCUGCCCCUGUUGUCCUCUGCUGCUGAUGGAGAGCAGCUUGGUGACCCGUGGGGCACUUCAGGAGAGGACAGGCAGGAGCAGGGAAGGCCCUGGAGGCUGAGCUGAGGCUGGGCUGUGUCAGCUGGCACUGGGGGCACAGGAGGUGCAGACACGUGUGAGCUGUGGGGAGCUGAGUGCCCAGGGUGGGAAAGGCACUGUGC
Molecule: long non-coding RNA, 1512 nt
Organism: Zonotrichia leucophrys gambelii
Lineage: Eukaryota; Metazoa; Chordata; Aves; Passeriformes; Passerellidae
Exons: 6
Source: RefSeq, a predicted model, not a curated record